GCGCGAUUCAAUGGACGUCAGAAGCCGGGCGCAGCCGCGCUUUAAAUCUAGACGGGGGUCUUAAGGUUUGAGCUGCACCUUGGAUAGUAUUGAUCUGUUUGGGAGAAUGUCUGCUCCGAAUUUGCCCAGAUUGAUCACCAGGACGCUUGUCAUUCCCGGUUGUUUUCUGGCCACAUCUGAGGGAAUGAGUCUCACGUGAAUACCAGUUCUGCAUGGGCUUGCUGUGGGCAUCCCCAAGAGAUCCAUCCAGUUUCUGUGGUGUGAUGCGGUACCACACACCUGUUCGGUGACGUCACGAAGAACAGCUGCAGCUUCUUUUACUGUUUUGUCUUUUAUAAACGUUAAAUAUUGGCUUGGUUGAUAUCUAAAUGUCAAAGGCACAUUUUUAAAUAAUAAAAAAAAAAGCCAUCUUUCAGUUU
Long non-coding RNA from Peromyscus leucopus (white-footed mouse), 419 nucleotides. RefSeq lists it as uncharacterized. The transcript is spliced from 2 exons. Lineage: Eukaryota; Metazoa; Chordata; Mammalia; Rodentia; Cricetidae. The record is from RefSeq and is a predicted model, not a curated record.